RNAcentral lists this non-coding RNA (48 nucleotides) under Schistosoma mansoni. The record is from RNAcentral. Lineage: Eukaryota; Metazoa; Platyhelminthes; Trematoda; Strigeidida; Schistosomatidae.
AUCCAGAUGACGAGUCCCAAAUAGGACGAAACGCGCGUCCAACUGGAU